Long non-coding RNA from Callithrix jacchus (white-tufted-ear marmoset), 246 nucleotides. RefSeq lists it as uncharacterized. Lineage: Eukaryota; Metazoa; Chordata; Mammalia; Primates; Cebidae. The record is from RefSeq and is a predicted model, not a curated record.
CUAUUAUUCUUUAUCUGUUUCACUAGCUUGUCCAUGAGACCCAUCCUGGUUUUCCUGACCUUGGCCUAGCACAAGUGGAUUUUCAGUUCCUACCUAAGAAACCACAAUCUAACUUGUUAAUGCCAGGAAAGUGGUGAAACAGGUGCUCCCAGGUCCCAGGUCCCAACCCUACUGAAGAUGAGACAAUACCAGUGCAACUCAAUCCAACAUUUGUUAAACAUCCCACGGGUUCAGCACACCUUGAGG